RNAcentral lists this unclassified non-coding RNA (478 nucleotides) under Bartonella chomelii. RNAcentral's name for it is "partial 16S-23S ribosomal RNA intergenic spacer". The stretch from base 229 to 302 matches the Rfam family "tRNA". RNAcentral also lists the same sequence under 1 other name. Lineage: Bacteria; Pseudomonadati; Pseudomonadota; Alphaproteobacteria; Hyphomicrobiales; Bartonellaceae. The record is from RNAcentral.
CUUCAGAUGAUGAUCCCAAGCCUUCUGGCGUUCUGUUCAUCAAAUUUCAAAAGCGUUUAAGAAACAGGUAAAAAAGCGUUUAAGCAGAUAUAAAGCGUUUAAGAAACAUAUAAAGAAGGUGUUUAAGAAACAGGUAAAAAGGUGUUUAAGAAACAUAUCUGUUUCUUAAACAUAUCUUUUGUUUUCUUUUAUCUGUCCCGAGGAAGGUUUUUACCGAUUUACUCCUGAGGGCUUGUAGCUCAGUUGGUUAGAGCGCGCGCUUGAUAAGCGUGAGGUCGGAGGUUCAAGUCCUCCCAGGCCCACCAAUUUAUGAUUGCUGAUAAGUUUGCUGAUAAGUUUUUUGCGAAUGUUUUGAUGGUCUUUUAUCUUACGAUCUUUCACUUUUAUGUUGCAAUCUUUCUAAAAGUAUUUGAACUGUUUUAGGGGCCGUAGCUCAGCUGGGAGAGCACCUUCUUUGCAAGCAGGGGGUCGUCGGUUC